RNAcentral lists this ribosomal RNA (495 nucleotides) under uncultured bacterium. RNAcentral's name for it is "partial 16S ribosomal RNA". It matches the Rfam family "Bacterial small subunit ribosomal RNA", at positions 28 to 507 of the family's 1533-position model. The record is from RNAcentral.
GAUGAACGCUGGCGGCGUGCCUAAUACAUGCAAGUAGAACGCUGAAGGAGGAGCUUGCUCUUCUGGAUGAGUUGCGAACGGGUGAGUAACGCGUAGGUAACCUGCCUGGUAGCGGGGGAUAACUAUUGGAAACGAUAGCUAAUACCGCAUGACAACAGUUAUUGCAUGAUAACUGUUUAAAAGGGGCAACUGCUCCACUACCAGAUGGACCUGCGUUGUAUUAGCUAGUUGGUGAGGUAACGGCUCACCAAGGCGACGAUACAUAGCCGACCUGAGAGGGUGAUCGGCCACACUGGGACUGAGACAAGGCCCAGACUCCUACGGGAGGCAGCAGUAGGGAAUCUUCGGCAAUGGACGGAAGGCUGACCGAGCAACGCCGCGUGAGUGAAGAAGGUUUUCGGAUCGUAAAGCUCUGUUGUAAGAGAAGAACGAGUGUGAGAGUGGAAAGUUCACACUGUGACGGUAUCUUACCAGAAAGGGACGGCUAACUACGUG